CCCAAAAUAUAAAACUUGAUAUAUCUUGAAUCUGGAUAUAUGCUCUGCUCUAACGUACGUGCGUCUUAUCUGAUAUUUAUUGUUUGUGAUGUGAUGAUUUGAAAAAGUAAUAAUUAAAAAAAAUGUAACUAUAAUUUUAAGCAGUUUUUUUUACUUUAGUAGACAUUCUUGGUGGCCCCAUUUUAAUUCCAGGUGACCCCACAUGUGGUCCUCACCCUAAGGUUAAAAAUACUGCUCGAACUGCUCCUCCUCUGUGCUCCAUGUCUGCAUACAGUGGAUGUUGCUGUACAGAUAGACCUGAUGCUGUUAUUCUGAUGUAAUGUCUGUAGAUGAAGGAGGAUUCCUGGAGUUUCUGACCAGACAUCCUGGUCUGGAGUUGUCUAACGGCCUGGUGUAUGUGAAACGUACGCCUGCACCCGUGCACGAGCUCCACUGGCCGGUGCUUCCUGCUGUGGUCAGAGAAGGUUGGAGCGCUGUGAGCUCACCUCCACACAGUGUUCAUCCUCACUGCAGAGGAGACGCCCCCCCCCAGUGGACGAGCCUUCAACAGACUCAGGUGAGCAGUGAUUGGCUGUCCUGGCAGACCCAGAGUGGAAGGACCACCCCUUCACAGACAGAUGUGACGUUACCUUUGAGCGUCUCUGCAGACAUGGAGCUGAAAUGUUCUGCAUCAAGGCAACGCCUCGUUCCCCACGUUUCAACGAGUAAACGUGUUCGUAAAGAGACGCCCCUGAUGGACACGCCCCUGAUGGAGGGGCGACGUGACGUGAACGUUGAUGGUGAAACCAGCCGAAACCUUGAAGCUCAGGCCAAAGGCUUCCGGGACGUUCCGGUGAAUGACGGCAGCAUCCUGGUGUAUGUGACUGGAGACGACCUGAUGAGAGAGCGCUCUCUGUCCCACGUUAUCAGCCAGAAGUCGACGCCCCCCACCACCACAAUCAGCACCCAGACCCCACCCACCACCAUCAGCACCAAGACCCCACCCAGCACCAUCAGCACCCAGACCCCACCCACCACCAUCAGCACCAAGACCCCACCCACCACCAUCAGCACCCAGACCCCACCCACCACCAUCAGCACCAAGACCCCACCCAGCACCAUCAGCACCCAGACCCCACCCACCACCAUCAGCACCCAGACCCCACCCAGCACCAAGACCCCACCCAGCACCAUCAGCACCAAGACCCCACCCAGCACCAUCAGCACCCAGACCCCACCCAGCACCAUCAGCACCCAGACCCCUAAACCGGAAACCGUGGACAAGCACUUCAACACGGUGGUCCUCAGUUCAGACCUGGACCACAUCGCAGAGGAAUUUCUCAAACUCAGACGGUUGUUACUACAAAAGGAGAAGAACGCCAGAGAGCGUGCUGUGAGCGAGCAGCGUGCACAGCAGGCCGAGCUCAGUCUGCUGACUCUGCAGUUUGUCAUGUGCAAACAGCACUGCUCUGGAAGCUUCUGCUCGUCUGCUGAGGAGCUCCAGCAUCACCCGCAGAAUGAAGCCCCUCCUGCUGAUGUGAUGAAGGUUUUGCAGAGACUGGAGUCAGACUGGGAGAACAUGAAGGAGCAGGUGUUGGCUGGGGUCCCUCUGGAGGGUCUCCAGCCUCUCUGUGUGGACUCUUUUGUUCCAGCUCAGAUCAUCACUGACACUCUGAGCAAAGCUUCUCUCAGGAGCUCCCAGAAUCCUUCAGGAGAAGCUGAUGGAAGCACAGACGAGGAGCAGAAGAAGAACCAGGAGGAACCGAGCAACCACGUAGAGCCAACCAACCAGGAUCAGGACGGAAACAUGAGCUGUGAGGAUCUCAGUGUCUCUGAGGCCUGGUUUGAUGCUGAGGAGUAUCUCCAGCCUCCACAGCACACUGGGAGCAGAGAUGGAGGAUCAUCUGACCUUCAUCACCACUGAUGGUUCCACAGGUAGAGACGGAUUCAAUUGAAGAUGAAGCUCCAGCGAUGAAGAUGAUUCCUGAUCAGGCCGUUGAGAGUUUUUCUUUUUUUAAUCUAUUGUUUCAGAGAAACAGACUCCUGUUGUUCAUAGAGGAAGGAAAACGACACUGACGAGC
This is a long non-coding RNA of Gouania willdenowi (blunt-snouted clingfish), 2060 nucleotides long. Ensembl annotates it as RNA-binding protein 44-like. Lineage: Eukaryota; Metazoa; Chordata; Actinopteri; Blenniiformes; Gobiesocidae. The record is from Ensembl.